Molecule: ribosomal RNA, 553 nt
Filed under: uncultured archaeon
Lineage: Archaea
Description: bacterial SSU rRNA
Rfam family: Archaeal small subunit ribosomal RNA
Source: RNAcentral
CGGGGUGCACCAGGCGCGAAAACUUUACAAUGCGGGAAACCGUGAUAAGGGGACACCGAGUGCCAGCAUCAUAUGCUGGCUGUCCGGGUGUGUAAAAUACACCCGUUAGCAAGGGCCGGGCAAGACCGGUGCCAGCCGCCGCGGUAACACCGGCGGCCCGAGUGGUGAUCGUGAUUAUUGGGUCUAAAGGGUCCGUAGCCGGUUUGGUCAGUCCUCCGGGAAAUCUGACGGCUCAACCGUUAGGCUUUCGGGGGAUACUGCCAGGCUUGGAACCGGGAGAGGUAAGAGGUACUACAGGGGUAGGAGUGAAAUCUUGUAAUCCCUGUGAGACCACCUGUGGCGAACGCGUCUUACCAGAACGGGUUCGACGGUGAGGGACGAAAGCUGGGGGCACGAACCGGAUUAGAUACCCGGGUAGUCCCAGCCGUAAACGAUGCUCGCUAGGUGUCAGGCAUGGCGCGACCGUGUCUGGUGCCGCAGGGAAGCCGUGAAGCGAGCCACCUGGGAAGUACGGCCGCAAGGCUGAAACUUAAAGGAAUUGGCGGGGGAGCAC